This 3116-nucleotide ribosomal RNA is filed under the name Drosophila pseudoobscura pseudoobscura. RNAcentral's name for it is "eukaryotic LSU rRNA". The stretch from base 1935 to 3116 matches the Rfam family "Eukaryotic large subunit ribosomal RNA", at positions 1891 to 3292 of the family's 3401-position model. Lineage: Eukaryota; Metazoa; Arthropoda; Insecta; Diptera; Drosophilidae. The record is from RNAcentral.
AGGACGUUGUGUGGAGGAUGCUUGGAAACACGUCGUGAGUACUGUUUCGGCCAGCCGGUCGAAAUACGUGCUCGGAGUCUUCGUGGAUUUCAAGGGAGCCUUCGACAACGUUGAGUGGAAUGCUGCACUACGCCGCCUCCUUGAGCUGGGAUGCCGAGAAGCAAGCUUGUGGCGAAGUUUCUUCUCCGGCCGGAGUGCGAGCAUCGUCAGUAGGCAUGGAGUAGCCACUGUUCCGGUGACAAGAGGUUGCCCGCAGGGGUCCAUAAGUGGUCCGUUUAUAUGGAACAUCUUAAUGGACGUGUUGCUCCAGCGCUUAGAGCCCCUUGGUGCGCUCAGCGCGUAUGCUGACGACUUGCUCCUCCUCAUCGAAGGGAAUGCCCGAUCAGAGCUCGAACAAAAAGGAGGUGAGUUAAUGUCCAUCGUAGGCGCUUGGGGAGUUGAAGUCGGCGUUGCCGUUUCAACUAGCAAGACGGCGAUCAUGCUGCUCAAAGGCAUACUUAGACGGCCGCCAGUGGUACGGUUUGCUGGAGCAAGCCUGCCAUAUAAGCGCAAGUAUCGGUACCUAGGCAUCACGGUCGGCGAGCGGUUGAGUUUUCUCCCGCACAUCACGGGCUUGCGUGAUAAGCUGACCGGAGUCGUAGGGGCAUUGUCGCGCGUACUGCGGGUCGACUGGGGACUCAGUCCCCGCGCAAAGCGGACAAUAUAUGCCGGACUCAUGGUGCCCUGUGCACUAUUUGGUGCCUCGGUUUGGUCUGUCGUGACGACGACGCAAGUGGUUGCCAGGAGGCAUCUGCUUGCGUGCCAAAGGAUCGUCCUGAUUGGAUGCCUACCGGUAUGCCGAACAGUGUCCACCAUGGCACUGCAAGUACUAGCUGGAGCCCCCCGUUUGAUCUGGUUGCCAGACGCCUGGCAAUCAGCUUCAAGCUAAAGCGUGACUACCCGCUGGAGGAGAGCGAUUGGCUGUACGGCGAAGAUUUGGCAAAUCUUAGCUGGAAGCAGAAGAUGGCGCGACUAGACGAAGACCUGUUGUGCGAGUGGCAACGCAGAUGGGAUGAUGGUGACUCCCCAGGACGGGUGACGCACCGCUUCAUCCCGAACGCAGGCUUCGUCUACAGCGAACGAAGGUUUGGCUUCACGCUGCGCGCUGGGUUCCUGCUGACGGGCCACGGAUCGCUCAAUGCAUUUCUGCAUGGAAGAAGCCUUAGCGACACGCCAGCAUGUCUAUGCGGCGCAGAACGCGAGGAUUGGCAGCACUUCCUAUGUGCUUGUCCCCUCUAUACAGACUUGCGAGACCUCGAUGGACUUGGAGUGCAGUACACGGAUGGCGACUGGACCUUCUCCGAUGUGACGGCUUCUCAGGAGAGAAUGCGGACUCUCGACAGGUUCGCCGGACUGGCGUUCUCCAGGCGACAGCAGCUGCUGAAUGCGCAAGCGGCGCACGGGCUGGGUGGAUUCCCUAUCCAGGCCGGUCGGGGCUAAAAGGGAGGAUCGAGCUGAGUCCUUAAGAUCGGUACCACGGGUUGUGCAGUUCCAAGGCUGCACAUUGAGGUCGGCCCCCUAGUGGGAGUAUCGUGGUGGCUGUGGUUGAUACCCAAACGUUACGCGGGGAGAGCCGCUAGGCUCCUCGUGGAGUUGCGCUCUCAACCGGGUGCCGAGACCCAUAGAUCGGAAGACGUGUUAGAUACACCUCGCCCCUCACCAAGGGGGAUUGUAUGCCCGACCAGGAUACUUUCAAUUGGUACCAGAAGAGUCGCUAUGUACAUAGCUAUAGCUUCUUUUUAGGGGCGCUAACUGGCGCAUUGUACCAGGUUCCUGCGUAUGUAGCGGUGGUGCGUGAUGGCGUGAUAUAUGUAAAUAUAUCGCACUAAUCGAGGCUAAGCUGCAGAUAAACAUUAGACGCCGUGGUUGAAAUCCCUCCCUGAGGAACCGCCACGUAAAAUAAAGCUGAGAGAUCAGAUUCAUUCUGUCCCUAUCUACUAUCUAGCGAAACCACAGCCAAGGGAACGGGCUUGGAAUAAUUAGCGGGGAAAGAAGACCCUUUUGAGCUUGACUCUAAUCUGGCAGUGUAAGGAGACAUAAGAGGUGUAGCAUAAGUGGGAGAUAUUAGAUUUCGGUUUGGUAUCGACAAUGAAAUACCACUACUCUUAUUGUUUCCUUACUUACUUGAUUAAAUGGAACGUGUAUCAUUUCCUAGCCAUUAUACGGAUAUAUUUAUUAUAUCUUAUGGUAUUGGGUUUUGAUGCAAGCUUCUUGAUCAAAGUAUCACGAGUUUGUUAUAUAAUCGCAAACAAAUUCUUUAAUGAGAAAAUGCAUUUAUGUAUUUUCAAUUUGAAAAUUUGGUAUAACUCCAAUUACUCAGGUAUGAUCCAAUUCAAGGACAUUGCCAGGUAGGGAGUUUGACUGGGGCGGUACAUCUCUCAAAUAAUAACGGAGGUGUCCAAGGCCAGCUCAGUGCGGACAGAAACCACACAUAGAGCAAAAGGGCAAAUGCUGACUUGAUCUCGGUGUUCAGUACACACAGGGACAGCAAAAGCUCGGCCUAUCGAUCCUUUUGGUUUAAAGAGUUUUUAACAAGAGGUGUCAGAAAAGUUACCAUAGGGAUAACUGGCUUGUGGCGGCCAAGCGUUCAUAGCGACGUCGCUUUUUGAUCCUUCGAUGUCGGCUCUUCCUAUCAUUGUGAAGCAAAAUUCACCAAGCGUUGGAUUGUUCACCCAUGCAAGGGAACGUGAGCUGGGUUUAGACCGUCGUGAGACAGGUUAGUUUUACCCUACUAAUGACAAAACGUUGUUGCGACAGCAUUCCUGCGUAGUACGAGAGGAACCGCAGGUACGGACCAAUGGCACAAUACUUGUUCGAGCGAACAGUGGUAUGACGCUACGUCCGUUGGAUUAUGCCUGAACGCCUCUAAGGUCGUAUCCGUGCUGGACUGCAAUGAUAAAUAAGGGGCAAUUUGCAUUGUAUGGCUUCUAAACCAUUAAAAGUUUAUAAUUUAUUUUAUAAACGACAAUGGAUGUGAUGCCAAUGUAAUUUGUAACAUAGUAAAUUGGGAGGAUCAUCGAUCACCUGAUGCCGCGCUAGUUGCAUAUAAAAACAUUAUUUAAUACAAUGACAAAGCC